GACGAACGCUGGCGGCGUGCUUAACACAUGCAAGUCGAGCGGUAAGGCCUUUCGGGGUCCACGAGCGGCGAACGGGCGAGUAACACGUGGGUGAUCUGCCCUGCACUUCGGGAUAAGCCUGGGAAACUGGGUCUAAUACCGGAUAUGACCUCCUAUCGCAUGGUGGGUGGUGGAAAGAUUUAUCGGUGCAGGAUGGGCCCGCGGCCUAUCAGCUCGUUGGUGGGGUAAUGGCCUACCAAGGCGACGACGGGUAGCCGACCUGAGAGGGUGACCGGCCACAAUGGGACUGAGACACGGCCCAGACUCCUACGGGAGGCAGCAGUGGAGAAUAUUGCACAAUGAGCGAAAGCCUGAUGCAGAGACGCCGCGUGAGGGAUGACGGCCUUCGGGUUGUAAACCUCUGUCAGCAGGGACGAAGCGCAAGUGACAGUACCUGCAGAAGAAGCACCGGCUAACUACGUG
RNAcentral lists this ribosomal RNA (462 nucleotides) under uncultured bacterium. RNAcentral describes it as "partial 16S ribosomal RNA". It matches the Rfam family "Bacterial small subunit ribosomal RNA", at positions 28 to 507 of the family's 1533-position model. The record is from RNAcentral.